ACUGCAAGUCGAGCGAANGACGAGGAGCUUGCUCCUCUGACGUUAGCGGCGGACGGGUGAGUAACACGUGGAUAACCUACCUAUAAGACUGGGAUAACUUCGGGAAACCGGAGCUAAUACCGGAUAAUAUAUUGAACCGCAUGGUUCAAUAGUGAAAGACGGUUUUGCUGUCACUUAUAGAUGGAUCCGCGCCGCAUUAGCUAGUUGGUAAGGUAACGGCUUACCAAGGCAACGAUGCGUAGCCGACCUGAGAGGGUGAUCGGCCACACUGGAACUGAGACACGGUCCAGACUCCUACGGGAGGCAGCAGUAGGGAAUCUUCCGCAAUGGGCGAAAGCCUGACGGAGCAACGCCGCGUGAGUGAUGAAGGUCUUCGGAUCGUAAAACUCUGUUAUUAGGGAAGAACAAAUGUGUAAGUAACUAUGCACGUCUUGACGGUACCUAAUCAGAAAGCCACGGCUAACUACGUGCCAGCAGCCGCGGUAAUACGUAGGUGGCAAGCGUUAUCCGGAAUUAUUGGGCGUAAAGCGCGCGUAGGCGGUUUUUUAAGUCUGAUGUGAAAGCCCACGGCUCAACCGUGGAGGGUCAUUGGAAACUGGAAAACUUGAGUGCAGAAGAGGAAAGUGGAAUUCCAUGUGUAGCGGUGAAAUGCGCAGAGAUAUGGAGGAACACCAGUGGCGAAGGCGACUUUCUGGUCUGUAACUGACGCUGAUGUGCGAAAGCGUGGGGAUCAAACAGGAUUAGAUACCCUGGUAGUCCACGCCGUAAACGAUGAGUGCUAAGUGUUAAGGGGGUUUCCGCCCCUUAGUGCUGCAGCUAACGCAUUAAGCACUCCGCCUGGGGAGUACGACCGCAAGGUUGAAACUCAAAGGAAUUGACGGGGACCCGCACAAGCGGUGGAGCAUGUGGUUUAAUUCGAAGCAACGCGAAGAACCUUACCAAAUCUUGACAUCCUCUGACCCCUCUAGAGAUAGAGUUUUCCCCUUCGGGGGACAGAGUGACAGGUGGUGCAUGGUUGUCGUCAGCUCGUGUCGUGAGAUGUUGGGUUAAGUCCCGCAACGAGCGCAACCCUUAAGCUUAGUUGCCAUCAUUAAGUUGGGCACUCUAAGUUGACUGCCGGUGACAAACCGGAAGGAAGGUGGGGAUGACGUCAAAUCAUCAUGCCCCUUAUGAUUUGG
This 1178-nucleotide ribosomal RNA is filed under the name Staphylococcus epidermidis. Its description in RNAcentral is "bacterial SSU rRNA". It matches the Rfam family "Bacterial small subunit ribosomal RNA", at positions 53 to 1212 of the family's 1533-position model. Lineage: Bacteria; Bacillati; Bacillota; Bacilli; Caryophanales; Staphylococcaceae. The record is from RNAcentral.